CUACGGAGGGUGCAAGCGUUAAUCGGAAUUACUGGGCGUAAAGCGCGCGUAGGCGGUUUGGUAAGUCGGAUGUGAAAGCCCCGGGCUCAACCUGGGAAUUGCAUUCGAUACUGCCAGACUAGAGUAUGCUAGAGGGAAGUGGAAUUCCGGGUGUAGCUGUGAAAUGCGUAGAUAUCCGGAGGAACACCAGUGGCGAAGGCGACUUCCUGGACCAAUACUGACGCUGAGGUGCGAAAGCGUGGGGAGCAAACAGAAUUAGAAACCCUAGUAGUCC
This 274-nucleotide ribosomal RNA is filed under the name uncultured bacterium. RNAcentral describes it as "partial 16S ribosomal RNA". It matches the Rfam family "Bacterial small subunit ribosomal RNA", at positions 523 to 796 of the family's 1533-position model. The record is from RNAcentral.